GAUCAGUCCUGUGGUGCAAGGCAAGUUCCAGCAGGGCAUCAUGAACGGCAUGCAGAACCGUGACAUUGGCAACAGUACAAGUGUCCCUGUGUCUGGCUCCAGCUUCAAUGGCACUUCCUUCCUCAGUGGUAACUCCGUAAAUGCACCACCAGCUCCAGAGGUUCCAAGUUACUCUAUUACAGGCAUCGGAGGAGAUGCGACCUUUUAAGUGCUGGCAUACAACGCCAGGAGGG
RNAcentral lists this unclassified non-coding RNA (233 nucleotides) under Hevea brasiliensis (rubber tree). The record is from RNAcentral. Lineage: Eukaryota; Viridiplantae; Streptophyta; Magnoliopsida; Malpighiales; Euphorbiaceae.